Molecule: long non-coding RNA, 1607 nt
Organism: Uloborus diversus
Lineage: Eukaryota; Metazoa; Arthropoda; Arachnida; Araneae; Uloboridae
Exons: 3
Source: RefSeq, a predicted model, not a curated record
CUUAGGCAUCGUUUUUAAAAAACAGAUACGGUGCUGUUGUUUUUUUUUUAUAUGUUUGGGCUAGAAUAUAUGAAGAUGCAAGACCCUCCACAUCCUUCAGAAAGAACGCAAGACAAUCCAGAUUCCUCAGAAAUGAUGCAAGACAUUCCAGAUUCCCCAAGAACAGUGCAAGACACUCCAGAAAUUUCAAGAACGAUGCAAAAUACUCCAGAUUCUUUGGGUAUCACAACAGGAACUGUUGAUGAAAAUAGUGGAAAAUCCAAGGCAAAAAAAUCCAAAGGACAUCGUUGUUAUUUUUGUGGUCAAAAAUUUCUAGAAAAAAAAAUUGUUGAAAAAACAUAUUACUAGCCACAAAGAAAGACCUUAUGCAUGCGAACUGUGCGACAAGACAUUUUGUGACAAAGGAAUCCUUUAUAAACAUCAGUUAGUACAUAGUCAGCUGAAACAACAUCUUUGCGAAAUUUGUGGCAAGACUUUUUAAACAGAGAUGGCAUUUGUCGAAGCAUAGACAAAGACAUUCAGACAAAGAUUCGCCUUCAACAAUAAAUGUAUGUUUAAUUUGUGGAAAGAGAGUACGGUCAAAGACUGAUCCAAUUUGCUUUAUUUGUGUGCAUCAAGGGAAGAAUGUCGAUAAAGAUGGAAAAUUUCUUUGCAUGUUGUGCCAUGAAACUUUUGACAGCUCAAAGUUGUUAGAUGACCAUAUGUUCCUCCAUGCUACUGCAGUUGAAGAUGACUUAUGUUCGAACGACAUGGCUUCUCCACCUAAGAUAAUACCAUUUUCAUGCCUUACUUGCCAUCGUCAAUUUAAAUCCUUAACUGGUUUGAGAGAUCAUUCUACACGCCAUAUAGGAGAUCAACCAUUCUCUUGCAAGCAGUGUGAUUGCACCUUUAGAAAUCCUCACAACUUACGACAGCAUAUGGCCACUCAUGAGGAUAACUCUGAUUAUUUAUGCAAAAUUUGUGACUCCUCUUUUAAAUCUGGUAAAUGUUUGCGUAACCACAUAUUAGCGCACACUUUGCCUUUUGCUUGUGAAAUUUGUGGUAAUGGUUUUAAAACUGCUAAAUGUUUAGAAAAACAUGCUUUGGUUCACGCAGAAGAUCGUCCUUUUGUUUGUAAAAUAUGUGGUUUAAAUUUCAAGUCAUCCAGGACACGACAACGGCAUUAUGCUACCCAUGAAGAUAUUCGUCCUUUUCCUUGUCAUAUUUGUAAGAAGAGAUUUAAAUCAACUUCAAACUUAAAACAACAUUUAAUUUCUCAUUCAACUGUUCAACCUUAUACUUGCAAGGUUUGUGAUAAGGGUUUCAGAUCUUUCAGCAAUUAUGAUCGGCAUCAACGAACUCACACUGGUGAACGCCCGUUCCAAUGUGUAUACUGUGAAAGAAAAUAUACCCAAGCCAGCUCAUUGAAGACACAUAUGUUAGCCAUCCAUUCACAGAUUUCAUCUUUGCAUAAGACUGUAUAAAUUACAUAGGCUAUAAAUGCAGAAAUACAUCAAAAGUGAAUCAGUUUUUAAUUCACAGAGCAUUUUUAACAAGAUUGUUAAGUUUUUUUCUUUUUCUUUAGAGAUGAAUAUUUUUAUCACAAUAUAAAGAACUAAAUAAAUAAA